GAUGAACGCUGGCGGCGUGCCUAAUACAUGCAAGUCGAGCGAACGGACGAGAAGCUUGCUUCUCUGAUGUUAGCGGCGGACGGGUGAGUAACACGUGGAUAACCUACCUAUAAGACUGGGAUAACUUCGGGAAACCGGAGCUAAUACCGGAUGAUAUUUUGAACCGCAUGGUUCAAAAGUGAAAGACGGUCUUGCUGUCACUUAUAGAUGGAUCCGCGCUGCAUUAGCUAGUUGGUAAGGUAACGGCUUACCAAGGCAACGAUGCAUAGCCGACCUGAGAGGGUGAACGGCCACACUGGAACCUAGACACCGGCCAGACCCCCACGGGAGGCCGCAGUAGGGAAUUUUCCGGAAUGGGCGAAAGCCUGACGGAGCAACGCCGCGUGAGUUAUGAAGGUCUUCGGAUCGGAAAACUCUGUUAUUAGGGAAAAACAUAUGUUGAAGUAACUGUGCACAUCUUGACGGUACCUAAUCAGAAAGCCACGGCUAACUACGUG
RNAcentral lists this ribosomal RNA (497 nucleotides) under uncultured bacterium. RNAcentral describes it as "partial 16S ribosomal RNA". It matches the Rfam family "Bacterial small subunit ribosomal RNA", at positions 28 to 507 of the family's 1533-position model. The record is from RNAcentral.